This is a non-coding RNA of Myodes glareolus (Bank vole), 2746 nucleotides long. Lineage: Eukaryota; Metazoa; Chordata; Mammalia; Rodentia; Cricetidae. The record is from RefSeq and is a predicted model, not a curated record.
UACUGAAAGGAAGAGGAGUUUAACAGUCUAGCUUAAUUUCACAGUUUAUAACUAGACACAACAAAAGUGAGGAAAUUCAACAAAUCUGGGACUUUCUGGUGUUUCUUUAAGUGUCAAUGUACCAAUUCAUUAGUUUGCUUAUGAAGUGUAUGAUUUCAUCAUUCCCUGUUUAUGAAUCAGCCAUGGUUUUUUAAUUUAUCUAUGCUAUUAUUGACUGUGCUGGUGCAUUCAGCUACACAAUUCAUAAGUAAACUAAGUAGGACACGAACUUAAACACCAGAACUAAAAACUAUAGAUUUAAUCGAUGCGAGGUUAGGAAAGAGUAGAGUGAACCAUGUGUACACUGAGCAAAUGUGAUCCAUUUACAAAGGGUGUGUGUGUGUGUGUGAUUCUGUCAGUCUCUCUGACUGACUGUUAGUCCCUAUUUGUAUGUCCGUGUAUUUGUUUCUCAUCCUAUUUUUUAUUUCUUUUAGUGUGUUCUUUUUGUUUCAUUCUUGUUCGUUUUCUUCUUUAUUCACCUGUUUGUUUUCUUAAGAGAGAGAUAAAGAAGCUGAGAAAGUGGUAAGUCUAGGAAGGUAAGGAUAAUCUAGGAGGAGUAGGGAAGGGAAAAUUAUGAUCAGAGUAUGUUACAAGAAAAUAACUUUAUUUUCAAUAAAAAUUGAAAUAAAUUAAAUAAAAAAACUUACAGUAGUGUUUCUCAGACUGACAAUGAGCCACAAGUAGCCUUUCUUCUCAGGCCUCCUAGAGAUACCUAAGAAACCGGCAAUGGUAACGAAAGGGUUCUUGCAUUUUAUUUUUGUUUUCAUUUUUGUCCCUUAAGAAAUCUCAGAUACUCUUUUAUGUUACCAUUGUACUUAGAAAGAUAUUCAUUUUUUCCCUAAAAACACACAGGAGAAGAAAUCAUCCAGCAGAUGAAAUACAAGAGUGGUUUUCAAGGGCUGCAGAGAUGACUCAAUCAUUAAGGCUAGGCCCACUAGGCUUCAAGAGGGAGUUCAAAGAAAAGAUUUGUUCACUAAAACAUCUUAAACUCUCUUGUUCUUGACAACCUUUAUUUAUUUAUUUAUUAUUUAUUUAUUUAUUUAUUUAUUUAUUUUGUCUUUGAGGGAUGGGAAGACACACAAAAACUUUUAAAGUAGUAUGGAAGUCAGGAAAAAAGCUCCACAAAUGAGUUCUCUCCUUCUACCAUGAGUCCUGCUAACUGAUCCCAAGUAAUCAGGCUUGGCAACAAGCCCCCUUACCCACUGAGCCAUCUCUCUUGCCCUUGUACCUGUCAUUCUAAACCUAAGAGCCAUCCUUGCCUUGGCAGGGACAGGUUUAUGCUGACACUCUUUAUUCCUCAUAGAGGUGACAAGCUUUGACACCUUUCCUAAAAGAUGACUGUUAACUUGCUUUUCAGAAAACAGAGAGGAAUUCCUUCAAUUACUAUGGAAUUGAAGAUGAUACAGGGACAAUGGAAGUGGUGGUCUAUGGAAGACUGACCAGUAUAAAGUGUGAGCCAGGCCAAAAACUUCGACUCAUCUGUUUUGAAUUGUCCUCAAGCGAAGAUAAACCGCAGCUGAAGUCUGUAAGACACAGUAACAUGCAGGUCGUCAAUGUCAGAAAGAAAAUCCCUCAAGCCUGAUUCAGAUCUGAAAACCUGGAUGCCAAGGAUACUGUUUAUGGAGAUAAGAUCCAAGUCCAGAAAAUACAUGUACAUGUGAACUGUUGCAAUACCAUAUCUAUGAAAGUCAGCUCCUUUUUUAAUGUUUUUCCAGGACAGGAUUUCUUCGUUUUGUCCUUGCUGUCCUGGAAACCACUUUGUAGACCAGGCUGGCCUUAAACUCAGAGAUCUACCUGCCUCAGCCUUCUGAGUGCCUGGAUUAAAGGUUUGCGCUGCCACCAUCAGACCUGCUCUUAAUUCUAGGAAAUGGUACUUUCUUAUAUUCUUUAUAAACUUUUGUGUGAUCUAAGUUCCAUGUUUUUAUCAACAAUUUUUAUACUUAUUAAUCUGUAAGUUUUACUUAUAAAACUUAAAUAUAAAACCACAUUUUCAAUAAAGCAGUGCUUCCUUGGGAAUAUCUGUUAGCCAUUUGAGAAUUGCUGUAAAAUCAAAAGUAUAGAAGACAUGCUUCAUGUGUGAUGUUAAGGACAAAACAUGUCAAAGAACAAGUGGAACACAUCCGCCCCAGAAAAACCAAGGCAUUAAUAGACACAGAAGAUUGAAUUCAGCCUUGAGUGCCAUUUCCAAAGCUAGUGUGCUGAGGACAGGGCAAGUCUUCAGGCCCUUUUUGCUCAACAAAUUUGAGUGUUUCAUAGAGUUUAAUUAUUGGAGCAAAGAAUCCACAGAAGUGAGGUGUCAUGAAUGGGGAAUAUUAUUUGCAUUAGUAUGGAAUCUCAACUCAAAUUCUAGAAUGAAAUAAUGUCACUGGAAACCUUGAGAUCAAAAUGACAAAGCCCUGUGGUAAAGAAAUUAAGAAAAUAGUCAGGAUUUCCAGAGAGGCCUUUCUGGAGUAUUGUUUGCUUCUCUUACUGCUGUGAAAAGGUACUGACUGCUGCAGGAGCUCAUUCAGCACCUUGAGCCAAUAGCCUUUAAGAUACCAGCCCACUUGGGCAUGAUCUCUUUUGUUUUAAAAAGCCGAAGUAGCCCUGCUCUUUCUCUCUUGCUUCUGGCUCCUAGACUCAGUUCCUGAUGGUGCAGACGGCCAUUGUCUAGGACAGUGAUCUGUAAGUUUUCCACUUAAAUAAAUAAUCCUUUUAUUAAUCAUAA